Dendronephthya gigantea is the source of this 577-nucleotide long non-coding RNA. RefSeq lists it as uncharacterized. The record is from RefSeq and is a predicted model, not a curated record. The transcript has 3 exons. Lineage: Eukaryota; Metazoa; Cnidaria; Anthozoa; Malacalcyonacea; Nephtheidae.
GGACCUCGUAGCAAGACAGCGUUGUUUCUAUCAGUUCCUGCUUUGCCUUGACCAUCAUUGUUUUUAGGGUUCGUGUUUGAACCAGUCCAUCUGGAAGAACAAAGUUUAGUAUUUACAAGGAUGAUAAAUGUUUAAUGUCGUGGGAGACCCCGGUACAGCUUCUUCUUGGUCCAUAUCAUACUUAGAAGCAACAUCUAGCUGUGUUUCUCGUUGUCCCCUUGGUGUGUUGAGUGAUGCAUUCACACUGGAGUCCCAGCCAUCAAAUUCGCCAGUUGAAAUGUUGUAUCUAUUGAAUUCAAUUGUGUAAUUAUAGGUAUUCUUUUGGCAACACACAUUCAUAACGGCCCUUCACAUUUUCACUUUCUCUUUCAUAAAAUGGACAUCGGGUUGCAUCAUUGGUGAGGACUGCAAUAUCCUAAGAAAAUCCGGUUUGGUUAUUGCAACUGAUACAAGCAUAUGCAUGAUAUUUUAAAUGUAUAUAGAUGUUUUAUGUGGCUGGCUUACAUGUGUUUGACAAUCUUACAGACCAUCAUGGCAAAUAAUAAUUAGGAAAUAAAAAAUUUUAAACCUUCCAAGG